UCACAUAACGUCAUCUUCAUGGGCCUCUAGCACUUCUCUCAAUCCUUAUCAAUCGAUUGCCUUGAAGAUUUUUCUCCUUAUCUAGGGGUUUCCAGUAGGGAGACCCUCUAUCCCCUUCCUUUUCACCUUAGUUGAUGAGGUGUUCAGUAGAUCCCUUGAUAGGAUGUAUAAACAAAUAUUGCUAGAGGGUUUUCAAGAUUGGCAGGAACGGCCCCGCCAUUUCCUGCCUGCAAUAUGUCAAUGACAAUAGUUUUUUGUGAUACAUCGAAGCAACAUGUAAAUACUCUACUCC
Molecule: long non-coding RNA, 292 nt
Filed under: Amborella trichopoda
Lineage: Eukaryota; Viridiplantae; Streptophyta; Magnoliopsida; Amborellales; Amborellaceae
Description: long non-coding RNA (ATRI_LNC003980)
Source: RNAcentral